Molecule: ribosomal RNA, 420 nt
Filed under: bacterium
Lineage: Bacteria
Description: partial 16S ribosomal RNA
Rfam family: Bacterial small subunit ribosomal RNA
Source: RNAcentral
UGGGGGAUAUUGCACAAUGGGCGAAAGCCUGAUGCAGCGACGCCGCGUGGGGGAUGAAGGCUUUCGGGUUGUAAACCUCUUUCGCUAUCGAACAAGGCCCGCUUAGGGUGGGUUGAGGGUAGGUGGAGAAGAAGCGCCGGCUAACUACGUGCCAGCAGCCGCGGUAAUACGUAGGGCGCGAGCGUCGUCCGGAAUUAUUGGGCGUAAAGGGCUUGUAGGCGGCUUGUUGCGCCUGCUGUGAAAACGCGGGGCUUAACUUCGCGCGUGCAGUGGGUACGAGCAGGUUUGAGUGUUGUAGGGGGGACUGGAAUUCCCGGUGUAGCGGUGGAAUGCGCAGAUAUCUGGAGGAAAACCGAUGGCGAAGGCAGGUCACUGGGCCAUUACUGACGCUGAGGAGCGAAAGCAUGGGUAGCGAACAGG